RNAcentral lists this ribosomal RNA (375 nucleotides) under uncultured bacterium. RNAcentral describes it as "bacterial SSU rRNA". It matches the Rfam family "Bacterial small subunit ribosomal RNA", at positions 523 to 898 of the family's 1533-position model. The record is from RNAcentral.
AUACGUAGGUGGCGAGCGUUGUCCGGAUUUACUGGGCGUAAAGGAUGCGUAGGCGGAUGUUUAAGUGAGAUGUGGAAUCCCUGGGCUUAACUUGGGGGCUGCAUUUCAAACUGGAUAUCUAGAGUGCGGGAGAGGAGAAUGGAAUUCCUAGUGUAGCGGUGAAAUGCGUAGAGAUUAGGAAGAACACCAGUGGCGAAGGCGAUUCUCUGGACCGUAACUGACGCUGAGGCAUGAAAGCGUGGGUAGCAAACAGGAUUAGAUACCCUGGUAGUCCACGCUGUAAACGAUGAAUACUAGGUGUGGGAGAGUUAAAUCUUCCGUGCCGCAGUUAACACAAUAAGUAUUCCGCCUGGGAAGUACGAUCGCAAGAUUAAA